GCGUUGUCCGGAUUUAUUGGGCGUAAAGAGCGUGUAGGCGGCUUUACAGGUCCGUUGUGAAAACUCGAGGCUCAACCUCGAGACGCCGGUGGAAACCGUAAAGCUAGAGUCCGGAAGAGGAGAGUGGAAUUCCUGGUGUAGCGGUGAAAUGCGCAGAUAUCAGGAAGAACACCCGUGGCGAAGGCGGCUCUCUGGGACGGUACUGACGCUGAGACGCGAAAGCGUG
RNAcentral lists this ribosomal RNA (226 nucleotides) under uncultured bacterium. Its description in RNAcentral is "partial 16S ribosomal RNA". It matches the Rfam family "Bacterial small subunit ribosomal RNA", at positions 538 to 763 of the family's 1533-position model. The record is from RNAcentral.